This 253-nucleotide ribosomal RNA is filed under the name uncultured bacterium. RNAcentral's name for it is "partial 16S ribosomal RNA". It matches the Rfam family "Bacterial small subunit ribosomal RNA", at positions 524 to 776 of the family's 1533-position model. The record is from RNAcentral.
UACGUAGGGUGCAAGCGUUGUCCGGAAUUAUUGGGCGUAAAGGGCUCGUAGGCGGUCUGUCGCGUCAGGAGUGAAAACUCGGGGCUUAACCCCGAGCCUGCGUCUGAUACGGGCAGACUAGAGGUAUGCAGGGGAGAACGGAAUUCCUGGUGUAGCGGUGAAAUGCGCAGAUAUCAGGAGGAACACCGGUGGCGAAGGCGGUUCUCUGGGCAUUACCUGACGCUGAGGAGCGAAAGUGUGGGGAGCGAACAGG